GAACGCCCGUAGCAAUACGGGAGUGGCAGACGGGAGAGUAACACGUGGGAACGUGCCCUUCAGUUCGGAACAACCCAGGGAAACUUGGGCUAAUACCGGAUACGUCCGCAAGGAGAAAGAUUUAUCGCCGAAGGAUCGGCCCGCGUCUGAUUAGCUAGUUGGUGAGGUAACGGCUCACCAAGGCGACGAUCAGUAGCUGGUCUGAGAGGAUGAUCAGCCUCACUGGGACUGAGACACGGCCCAGACUCCUACGGGAGGCAGCAGUGGGGAAUAUUGGACAAUGGGCGCAAGCCUGAUCCAGCCAUGCCGCGUGGGUGAUGAAGGCCCUAGGGUUGUAAAGCCCUUUCGGCGGGGAAGAUAAUGACGGUACCCGCAGAAGAAGCCCCGGCUAACUUCGUG
RNAcentral lists this ribosomal RNA (399 nucleotides) under uncultured bacterium. RNAcentral's name for it is "bacterial SSU rRNA". It matches the Rfam family "Bacterial small subunit ribosomal RNA", at positions 64 to 507 of the family's 1533-position model. The record is from RNAcentral.